GCAAGAUAAGAAAAUAAUCAAACAAAAAAUUGACAAUUGAAAAAUCAUGCAAUAUAAAAUAAGUAAAACAACAUAUAGCGGAUUCAAAAGUUGCAUGCAUACGUACAUACAUACAUACAUAAAGCAGUUCUAUUUCCAUCAGUUAUCUGCUAUGCUAGAAGUCCCCUCCCAAGGUGAGAAAGAGAAAAGGUAAAACUUAAAAGUAAUGAAGAAAAGGAACAUAACAGAAUACCUGCCUCAU
Molecule: unclassified non-coding RNA, 241 nt
Filed under: Hevea brasiliensis (rubber tree)
Lineage: Eukaryota; Viridiplantae; Streptophyta; Magnoliopsida; Malpighiales; Euphorbiaceae
Source: RNAcentral